UCUUAGAUAGUCUAAUUUAGGAUAUUACUUUGAAGCAGUAAAGGAAUGUUUUUUUAAGAA
Molecule: transfer RNA, 60 nt
Filed under: Crangonyx forbesi
Lineage: Eukaryota; Metazoa; Arthropoda; Malacostraca; Amphipoda; Crangonyctidae
Description: tRNA-Phe
Source: RNAcentral